RNAcentral lists this ribosomal RNA (908 nucleotides) under Talaromyces stipitatus. RNAcentral's name for it is "LSU rRNA". It matches the Rfam family "Eukaryotic large subunit ribosomal RNA", at positions 38 to 964 of the family's 3401-position model. Lineage: Eukaryota; Fungi; Ascomycota; Eurotiomycetes; Eurotiales; Trichocomaceae. The record is from RNAcentral.
GCAUAUCAAUAAGCGGAGGAAAAGAAACCAACCGGGAUUGCCUCAGUAACGGCGAGUGAAGCGGCAAGAGCUCAAAUUUGAAAUCUGGCCCCUCCGGGGUCCGAGUUGUAAUUUGCAGAGGAUGCUUCGGGUGCGGUCCCCGUCUAAGUGCCCUGGAACGGGCCGUCAUAGAGGGUGAGAAUCCCGUCUGGGAUGGGCGGCCGCGCCCGUGUGAAGCUCCUUCGACGAGUCGAGUUGUUUGGGAAUGCAGCUCUAAGUGGGUGGUAAAUUUCAUCUAAAGCUAAAUACUGGCCGGAGACCGAUAGCGCACAAGUAGAGUGAUCGAAAGAUGAAAAGCACUUUGAAAAGAGAGUUAAACAGCACGUGAAAUUGUUGAAAGGGAAGCGUUGUCCACCAGACUCGCCCGGGGGGGUUCAGCCGGCACAUGUGCCGGUGUACUCCUCUCCGGGCGGGCCAGCAUCGGUUUGGGCGGCUGGUGAAAGGCCCCGGGAAUGUAACACCCUCCGGGGUGCCUUAUAGCCCGGGGUGCCAUGCGGCCAGCCUGGACCGAGGCCCGCGCUUCGGCGAGGAUGCUGGCGUAAUGGUGGUCAACGGCCCGUCUUGAAACACGGACCAAGGAGUCUAACAUCUAUGCGAGUGUUCGGGUGUCAAACCCGUCCGCGCAGUGAAAGCGAACGGAGGUGGGAGCCCCUCGGGGCGCACCAUCGACCGAUCCUGAUGUCUUCGGAUGGAUUUGAGUAAGAGCAUAGCUGUUGGGACCCGAAAGAUGGUGAACUAUGCCUGAAUAGGGCGAAGCCAGAGGAAACUCUGGUGGAGGCUCGCAGCGGUUCUGACGUGCAAAUCGAUCGUCAAAUUUGGGUAUAGGGGCGAAAGACUAAUCGAACCAUCUGGUAGCUGGUUCCUGCCGA